GAGAAGAUAUAUUCAUACUUUUUUACUUUAAAUUCCAGAUAUUAAAGAACUCUUCUUCCAUAAGUAGAAUAUAUAGAUUUUCCAUGAGUUAAAUUCAUCAGAUAUGUAAAGCAAGAAAUAGUAAUAGAAAUACUUUGUAGUAUAGUGAGGUUUUCAGAGACUACACAGAUAUGGAGAUAAUCUUUUAGUGUGUUGUCUUUGUACAUUCCUAACUCUUUUGGUAUCUGAAAUUUUCCCAUAUUGGAGUCUAGAAUCAAAAAGAAAGGCAGGGAAGUUAACCAAGGACAGUAGAGAUUGAAUUGCAGAAAAUGUGUACAUUGGAAGAUUUCUUCGGUUUAAAAAAAUUACAAAGGUUACAGAUACUUUUUGCCAUUAGCUGACUCAUCGACUGUUGGAAGAGGUUGGAAAUU
Molecule: long non-coding RNA, 410 nt
Filed under: Monodelphis domestica (gray short-tailed opossum)
Lineage: Eukaryota; Metazoa; Chordata; Mammalia; Didelphimorphia; Didelphidae
Description: lncRNA (ENSMODG00000045249.1)
Source: RNAcentral